CGCAGAUCGGUGUGUACAAGCCCGGGAACGAGCGCAACCCGUGCCGUCACUUUAAACAGGUAAAGCUGGGAACUCUGGCGGGACUGCCCGUGUCAAGCGGGAGGAAGGCGCGGAUGACGUCAAGUCAGUAUGGCUCUUACGCCCAGGGCUGCACACGUGCUACAAUGGCCGGUACAGUGGGAAGCGACACCGCGAGGUGGAGCAAAUCCCCUAAAACCAGCCCCAGUUCAGAUCGUCGUCUGCAACUCGACGGCG
Molecule: ribosomal RNA, 255 nt
Filed under: uncultured Oligosphaera sp.
Lineage: Bacteria; Pseudomonadati; Lentisphaerota; Oligosphaeria; Oligosphaerales; Oligosphaeraceae
Description: partial 16S ribosomal RNA
Rfam family: Bacterial small subunit ribosomal RNA
Source: RNAcentral